GUCAGUAGACGUUAGCACUGCAGAGGCAAUGCCAGAAAGUCUUAGGAAAAAUCUGACUGAAUUGCUUAGGGCAGCUUUAAAAAUUAGAGCUUGCUUGGAAAAGCAGCCUGACCCUUUCUCACCGAGACAAAAGAAAACACUACAGGAGAUCCAGGAGGGCUUUGUAUUUUCCAAGUAUCUCCAUAGAGCCCUUCUUCUACCUGAGCUUCUGGAAGGAGUGCUACAGCUCCUCAUCUCUUGUCUUCAGAGUGCAGCUUCAAAUCCCUUUUACUUCAGUCAAGCCAUGGAUUUAGUUCAAGAAUUUAUCCAGCACCAGGGAUUUAAUCUGUUUGAAACAGCAGUUCUUCAGAUGGAGUGGCUGCUUUCAAGGGAUGCUGUUCCUUCAGAGGCCGCAGAACAUUUGAAAGCCCUGAUAAACAGUGUAAUAAAAAUAAUGAGUACUGUCAAAAAAGUUAAAUCUGAGCAACUUCAUCAUUCCAUGUGCACAAGGAAAAGGCACCGGCGUUGUGAGUAUUCCCACUUCAUGCAGCACCACCGAGAUCUCUCAGGUCUCCUGGUUUCAGCUUUUAAAAAUCAGCUUUCUGAAAGCCCUUUUGAAGAGACUGCUGAGGGAGAUGUGCAGUAUCCAGAAC
RNAcentral lists this long non-coding RNA (632 nucleotides) under Rattus norvegicus (Norway rat). Its description in RNAcentral is "long non-coding RNA NONRATT013183". The record is from RNAcentral. Lineage: Eukaryota; Metazoa; Chordata; Mammalia; Rodentia; Muridae.